UGGCGGCCGUGGGAUCCAAAGAGGACUUCAGCCAGCUUCAGGGACAAGAAACAGAGACCUGGUACCUGCAAACCCCUUGAGUUCUCUUUGUCACCAUCUCUGAGGGCCCUGGAGCCCACAGAUGGGAAUCCUGGAAAAAGAAGGGCGAGAAUCCUUACCUGAGUUUGCUCUCCCAAGUUACUGUGGCCCACUCAAGAGAGGAAGGAACCAAAGUUGUUCUCAUCAGAAGGGAAAAACUGUGGGAGAGUGGUGUUCUCCAAGGUGGAAAAUGUUGUCUUCACAAGUAUCAGUGAAAAGUUGAAGUCCCCUUGACUCACCCUUUUACCAGAAGCAUGAUGUGAAUGUGAUCCUCUUAUAAAUGGACCCUUGAUUGUUUUACUCUGAUGAUUCUGCAAAACCGACACGCAUGGAAAGAACCCUACCAAGAACUCUGGACCGCUGACAUUCCUGCCAAAUUAGAAGGUGUUGAACCCGGGGUGCCUAUGUCACAACUGGGGAAGGCUCCAACUGACUUUGGGUCCGGUACAAAAGCCGGAGACCUCAAACUCAAAUGGGCCAGCAAGAGAGGUCGACUGCUUCUUCCCAAGAUGGGGGGUUUCGAUCCAUGUUCGCAGCCAUUAACCACCUAGCAAAUAAUCCCCCUAAGAACAGAACUUCAGAAAAGGAACAAAGAGAAUGACCAACGGAAAGAACGAACCUGAUGUCAUGACCCGUGAAUACCACACAGACAUUUGGCAAAAGACCACGGGAACACCCGAGCUUUAGAGGGAAGCGGCCCCAAUGCCUUAAGUUGUGAUCCCAUCUCUCAGGCUGAGAAUCGGAUCAAAAGGAGGGACAUGUUGAAAACAAGAAAAUAGGCCCCAAAUGGAGUCACUCACGCUAAGGUCCACGUCACAGAACAGACUUCACCGAACUCCGGCUCUCUCAGAAAUGGAGUCUUAAACCAGUCAGGGCAUCUGCCUGACAGACCCCUGCCAUUCCCUAAAGGAAAGUGACUUGGCCAUAUCCAAACGAUUCUUGUCUAGUGGAGCCUCCUUGUUACCUCUCCCUCCUGGCUAUAAAAGUCUCAUUGUGCCUAGUUCCUCUGAGCUCCUUUCUUCUGCUAGACAAGAGGCUGCUUCAUUCAUAAAUUGACGAAUAAAGCCAACAGAAUCUUUCAGAUUGC
Leopardus geoffroyi (Geoffroy's cat) is the source of this 1165-nucleotide long non-coding RNA. RefSeq lists it as uncharacterized. NCBI's taxonomy places the organism in Eukaryota, Metazoa, Chordata, Mammalia, Carnivora, Felidae. The record is from RefSeq and is a predicted model, not a curated record. The transcript is spliced from 5 exons.